RNAcentral lists this ribosomal RNA (435 nucleotides) under uncultured Anaerovorax sp. RNAcentral's name for it is "bacterial SSU rRNA". It matches the Rfam family "Bacterial small subunit ribosomal RNA", at positions 341 to 792 of the family's 1533-position model. Lineage: Bacteria; Bacillati; Bacillota; Clostridia; Peptostreptococcales; Anaerovoracaceae. The record is from RNAcentral.
ACGGAAGGCAGCAGUGGGGAAUAUUGCACAAUGGGCGCAAGCCUGAUGCAGCAACGCCGCGUGAGCGAAGAAGGUCUUCGGAUUGUAAAGCUCUGUCCUUGGGGACGAAGAAUUGACGGUACCCAAGGAGGAAGCCCCGGCUAACUACGUGCCAGCAGCCGCGGUAAUACGUAGGGGGCGAGCGUUAUCCGGAAUUAUUGGGCGUAAAGAGUACGUAGGUGGUUUUGUAAGCGUGAGGUGAAAGCCUGCAGCUUAACUGCAGCGAGCCUCAUGAACUGCCAGACUUGAGUGCAGGAGGGGUAAGUGGAACUCCAUGUGUAGCGGUGAAAUGCGUAGAUAUAUGGAAGAACACCGGUGGCGAAGGCGACUUACUGGACUGUAACUGACACUGAGGUACGAAAGCGUGGGGAGCAAACAGGAUUAGAUACCCUGGUA